GAUGAACGCUGGCGGCGUGCCUAAUACAUGCAAGUCGAGCGAACAGACGAGGAGCUUGCUCCUCUGACGUUAGCGGCGGACGGGUGAGUAACACGUGGAUAACCUACCUAUAAGACUGGGAUGACUUCGGGAAACCGGAGCUAAUACCGGAUAAUAUAUUGAACCGCAUGGUUCAAUAGUGAAAGACGGUUUUGCUGUCACUUAUAGAUGGAUCCGCGCCGCAUUAGCUAGUUGGUAAGGUAACGGCUUACCAAGGCAACGAUGCGUAGCCGACCUGAGAGGGUGAUCGGCCACACUGGAACUGGGACACGGUCCAGACUCCUACGGGAGGCAGCAGUAGGGAAUCUUCCGCAAAGGGCGAAAGCCUGACGGAGCAACGCCGCGUGAGUGAUGAAGGUCUUCGGAUCGUAAAACUCUGUUAUUAGGGAAGAACAAAUGUGUAAGUAACUAUGCACGUCUUGACGGUACCUAAUCAGAAAGCCACGGCUAACUACGUG
RNAcentral lists this ribosomal RNA (497 nucleotides) under uncultured bacterium. RNAcentral's name for it is "partial 16S ribosomal RNA". It matches the Rfam family "Bacterial small subunit ribosomal RNA", at positions 28 to 507 of the family's 1533-position model. The record is from RNAcentral.